UGUGUGUGUGUGUGCGAGCGUGGGGGCGUGACAAUGUAUGUGUGCGUUUCUGUGUGUGCUUCUAUGUUUGCUUGUGUGCGGGUUUGCGGUCAGUGGCAACAUGAUUUUGUGUUUUUUGUCAAAGAACUUUGUCGGCCAGGACGGCAGGCAAGUACCUACGCAAAUUUAAUGCAUUCAAUUAUUACCACCUGUAAAACGUGCACUAAGAAAAAGUAAGGAAAACUAAAUUAAAAUCGCAAAUACUUUGGGCCAUAACUUUCAAGUGAUUCCCUAUGUUGUAUUACACAAUUAGGAAUCAUUUGUUUCCGCUUAAGCCAUCAAAUACGUACAUACACUUAAGCUGUAUUUACAUAUAGAUAAUUACAUGUAUUUUCCACCUCAAAUUAAUUCACUGGAAAACCAGAAAAUAUGUUGUGUUUUCCCUGAGUUCUACUCUGUUUCACUCUAUGCCAAAACAGAUUAUUUUUACGCCUCGCCAAUUGGGCACUCGAAGCCACUCCCACUGCACAAUCAAUCAAACAUAAUUCAUUCAAUCGAAUUUUAAAUGAUGAUCAUUAAAGCAUAAUCAACUUUUGCAAUUUAGUCCGAGACUAAGUGGAUUACAGCGAUGUUAAUUGGCCUGGAAAAAGGCCAGCGAUUUGUGGGGUAUUUGAAGUGCAUUUAGCUGAUUUACUCGGACAAGCCAAGCGAACCAUACGGACAGACUCAUAGUUCUUUAUUGUUAAUCCCUGGCAAUCUACCGCUUAAAAACUCUCAUCCUCUAGCUAUGCAUUUAUAAUAAACGUGCGAGUACGUUUCGUAUUCGGAGUCCGUCAGCCACAUAUCAAGCGUAUCCAAAUCCAUUCCCCUGUCACAUUUUAAUUGCCCUGGCGCUGUCAGCGCUCCUCUCCGCCGAUAUGGGCUGGGCCCCACUCAGAGCAGCGUGCAGCCAUUAAUUUAGUUAGUCCCAGUAUCCACGAGCUGUGGCCCGCUUGCCCCAUUCUACCACGCCGCCGGAAUGUCAUGCAACAUGUUAAAUAACAAGUGAUUUACAUUUUUUUUUUCAUGCAUUACAUACAUUCUUUCUGGCCAGCAUUCCGUGCACGUGCUGGCCAUGAUUGUAAUGCAAUUAAAUGAAUAAUUAAAUAUAAUAUGCCGCCGGACACAUUUGUCCAGCAAUGUUCGAAAUCAGAAACGUAAUGGUUUUGCGGAACAAUUUGCGAGUAUCCACAUAUAAAAUCGAUAUGUACAUUUAUGAACGAACUAUCUCUGGAAAAGGCCACCCAUCGUUCAGAGAUAUUUUUAAUAUACUUUUGUAAAGCAACCCCAGAAAUGUAUGAUUUUUGGCAUAGAUUGUGGAUCCACAGAUGGAAUACGAGAGUAUGUCAAAGAGUAUUACAAAUAUUAAAUGCCUUGUGGGUGGGAUAGGGGGAUGCCUGGCCUUUUCCUUUGUACUUCUCUGCUUUUUGUGUAGCUUUGUGAACUGUUUGUUGUUUCUUUGUGAUACUUAAAACUAGACAUUUUUACUAUACGCAUCCUGGCAGAGGCAACCACCAAUGGCAGCCUGACGAGCUCCAAAUUGAAGUCCUUAAACAGUUUCAAGUCCACCCAAUAUUGGCCACAAAUGCGGUCCUCCAGAUGGAUCAUCGCGCAGUGGCUGUUCUUGUAGAAAUCAUCUGGUGGAACAUCUCCUUGUCCUCUUUGCCCCAGUCCCACACAUCAAAUCGAAUGGGUCCGCUGGUGGUGCUGAAGAUGAAGUACUUGUCCGCAGGGACACACUCGCUCUUAAACUCUCCAAUUAAAUGGCCUCUCAAAAUGGCCACAGCGUUUCUCGCAAAUAAUGCACAUCCAUUGUUACUAUAUAUUAAUUUUUCUACGCUUAUUUUAUAGCGUUGUACAACAACAAAUACUAGAGAUGUCAGUGUUGGUGAGGCGCAGAAAUCAGCUGGCAGUGCCGAUAUAUUUUUUUACGUGUUUUUGAAACAAUCAGAAAUGAAACGCUCCCUCCAAUUAUCUUUUACCAAAGAUUAAAUAAAUGUUGUUCUAUAAAA
RNAcentral lists this small RNA (2030 nucleotides) under Drosophila pseudoobscura pseudoobscura. RNAcentral's name for it is "GA32210". Lineage: Eukaryota; Metazoa; Arthropoda; Insecta; Diptera; Drosophilidae. The record is from RNAcentral.